GUUCAUGUAGCUUAAUAAUAAAGCAAAGCACUGAAAAUGCUUAGAUGGAUUUCUAAUCCCAUAAACA
Molecule: transfer RNA, 67 nt
Filed under: Pelomys fallax (creek groove-toothed swamp rat)
Lineage: Eukaryota; Metazoa; Chordata; Mammalia; Rodentia; Muridae
Description: tRNA-Phe
Rfam family: tRNA
About the family: Transfer RNA (tRNA) molecules are approximately 80 nucleotides in length. Their secondary structure includes four short double-helical elements and three loops (D, anti-codon, and T loops).
Source: RNAcentral